Molecule: ribosomal RNA, 497 nt
Filed under: uncultured bacterium
Lineage: Bacteria
Description: partial 16S ribosomal RNA
Rfam family: Bacterial small subunit ribosomal RNA
Source: RNAcentral
GAUGAACGCUGGCGGCGUGCCUAAUACAUGCAAGUCGAGCGAACGGACGAGAAGCUUGCUUCUCUGAUGUUAGCGGCGGACGGGUGAGUAACACGUGGAUAACCUACCUAUAAGACUGGGAUAACUUCGGGAAACCGGAGCUAAUAUCGGAUAAUAUUUUGAACCGCAUGGUUCAAAAGUGAAAGACGGUCUUGCUGUCACUUAUAGAUGGAUCCGCGCUGCAUUAGCUAGUUGGUAAGGUAACGGCUUACCAAGGCAACGAUGCAUAGCCGACCUGAGAGGGUGAUCAGCCACACUGGAACUGAGACACGGUCCAGACUCCUACGGGAGGCAGCAGUAGGGAAUCUUCCGCAAUGGGCGAAAGCCUGACGGAGCAACGCCGCGUGAGUGAUGAAGGUCUUCGGAUCGUAAAACUCUGUUAGUAGGGAAGAACAUAUGUGUAAGAAACUGUGCGCAUCUUGACGGUACCUAAACAGAAAGCCCCGGCUAACUACGUG